RNAcentral lists this ribosomal RNA (87 nucleotides) under Parthenium integrifolium var. integrifolium. Its description in RNAcentral is "partial 5.8S ribosomal RNA". It matches the Rfam family "5.8S ribosomal RNA", at positions 73 to 154 of the family's 154-position model. From Rfam's summary of the family: 5.8S ribosomal RNA (5.8S rRNA) is a component of the large subunit of the eukaryotic ribosome. It is transcribed by RNA polymerase I as part of the 45S precursor that also contains 18S and 28S rRNA. Functionally, it is thought that 5.8S rRNA may be involved in ribosome translocation. Lineage: Eukaryota; Viridiplantae; Streptophyta; Magnoliopsida; Asterales; Asteraceae. The record is from RNAcentral.
UGCAGAAUCCCGUGAACCAUCGAGUUUUUGAACGCAAGUUGCGCCCAAAGCCAUCCGGUUGAGGGCACGUCUGCCUGGGCGUCACGC